This 2961-nucleotide long non-coding RNA is filed under the name Papio anubis (olive baboon). RNAcentral describes it as "lncRNA (ENSPANG00000039766.1)". Lineage: Eukaryota; Metazoa; Chordata; Mammalia; Primates; Cercopithecidae. The record is from RNAcentral.
GUUAGCCAGGAUGGCCUCGAUCUCCUGACCUCGUGAUCCGCCCACCUCGGCCUCCCAAAGUGCUGGGAUCACAGGCAUGAGCCAUCGACCCAGCCUGUUCUACUUCUUUGAAUUUAAUUUCUCAUUGAGACUGGACCACAUGGGGUCCCAGCUUAUAUCUAGGUUACAUUUGUAAACUAAGUUUAACCCAUUUAUGCCUAGUGUUCCAUUAUUGGAAUGCUAAGCUUGUGGGAGCAAUUUAUGUCCGACUGCUCAAGGUCAUUGCCAAGGUCUGAUUUUUCACAAAAAAUAUUUGCUUCUGGAUGAGACAGAAGUAGGAUGAAAGUGAAGAGAUUAUGUGAACUGGACAACCCCUUCUGGCUUGAAAAUACCUGUAGUGACCACAGUCUGAUUUCUCCCUCCUCACACGAAGCUUUUGCGGCAUUCCGUGAAGGAAGGAGCAGUCACUCCCUUCCCCAGAGGAAGAUUCCGGCAGGCGAUCUAUGGAACAGUAAAUCUAACCUUGAUUGACAGUGUUUGCCUACUUCCGUGGUGUAAACACUGCAACUAUGGCUGAUUUGAGCCCAGGACUGUGCCAUCACCGAAGGAGGGCUGAGAAGGGACUGGUGGUACCACCACACACUCCCCACCGUGCAGCUGCUGCAGACAUGAGCCAUCUGGCGUGCACGGUAUGCAGUCAGAUGCAGUCAAAUGAUGGGGAAGUGAUGAAUUGUGAGUACUUAAUAUGUUCAUUUUUAUAAUUUACUUAAUUGAAAGUUUAUAUAGUUUAAUUUUUAAUAAUGGCUGUGUUUAACUACUGGCUCCUAAAAUUUCUGAAAAUUUAACAUGAGCGCUUGCCAGGUGGAGGGCCAUGCACACUGCAGAAGGCUGGUGGCCUCUGUAGUGCCCAGGAGAUGCAUGUACAGCCGGGCCCUGAGAUGUGCACAGGCACAGCCCUCCUCUGCUGGGUCCUGAGCUCACCAGGAAGAGCGGCCUGACCCUGGGCUCCUCAGGCUGAGGGGCUCGGUUCCCAGGUCUGCUCAAAACCACAUGUGGUUUCAGGGCCCUGGGCAGCGGAAUACUUUUGCCCAAUCCUGCUGCCAUCUUUAAACAAGGAAUGGGGGAAGGAUACUUUCGUACAGAUCACAUUCUGAAUAUUUGGGAAACUUGGGUUGGAUGCAGCGGCUCAUGCCUGUAAUCCCAGCACUUUGGGGAGGCGAAGUGGGUGAAUCAGUUGAGGCCAAGAGUUCAAGACUAGCCUGGCCAACAUGGUGAAACGCUGUGUCUACCAAAAAAGACAAAAAUUGGCCAGGUGUCGUGGUGCAGGCCUAUAAUCCCAGCUACUGAGGAGGCUGAGGCAGGAGAAUUCCUUGAACCCAGGAGGCAGAGGUUGCAGUGAGCCAAGACCAAGCCAUUGCACUCCAGCCUGGGUGACAGAGUGAGAUCCUGUCUCAAAAAAAAAAAAAAAAGUUGGGAAACUUAACACACUGUUAAUCUGCCUGGGUGGUCUCAGCAUGCAACAACCAGCUCUGGGGUUCACAGGGUCCCCCAUGAGCACAUCCUAGGCAGUGUCCCUCACUGUCCCUCAGAGCAGGGUGAUUUGGGGGAAGUUACUGAAGCUUCCUGGGCCUCAGGCAUCAGUGAUGUUGAGGUAGGAGGUGGGACUCAACUCUGGAGGUGGGGCUUGGACACUGGACCAAAUUGAGGACUAGAUAAAACAGGGCCAGGGCCGAAGCAGGUUUCCAUAAGACAUGCCCACCAGUGUGCCAUGCCAGUUUACCAUUGCCAUGGCAACGCCUGGACGUUACUGCCUCUUUCCACAGCAACGACAACCGGGAAGUUGCCAGACUUUUCCUAGAAAUUUCUGUAUAAACUGCCCCUUAAUUUGCAUGUAAUUAAAAGCCAGUAUAAAUGUGAGUACAGAAGUGGUUCUGGGUGGCUACCCUGGGCACACUGCCUAUGGGGUAGCCCUGGUUCUCAAGGAGCCGUACCUCUGCUGCUGCUGUGCACUGCAACUUCAAUAAUAGUUGCUGUCUAACACCACUGGCUCACGCUUGAAUUCUCUCCUGGGUGAAGCCAAGAACCCUCCUGGGCUAAGCUCCAAUUUUGGGGCUUGCCUGUCCUGCAUCAAUAUGGUGUGAUAAUAAUGGGAGGGAUGAAGAUUGCACUGUGAGCCUAUUGUGUCCCCAGUGUCCAGCAUGAGGCCUGGCCCAUGGUGCUCCAAAGCUGCCGCAAAUGAAUAGAUGACUGAGGCCAUGGCUGCAGUUGGUGCAGGGAAGGGUUCCAGGCAGUCAGCUGGUGCCAGUGUGGCUCCUGCAAAAGGGUUUGAGUGGCCAGUGCUAUGGCCCUGGGCUUGGGGUAGUGUCCUGGGGCUGUGGUAGCAAAGCACCGCAGACUGCUGUGGGGGCUCAUCACGGCAAAAGCUGGUCCCUGCACCACUCUGCAGGCUGAGAGCCUGGGACCGAGGUGUCUGCAUGGCUGCACUCUCUCUGAAGUCUGUAGGGAGGAUCCUUCCUGCCUCCUCUGGCUUCUAGUUGCUGCCAGGAGGCCCUGGCAUUCCUCAGCUUGCAGGUACAUCCUCCCAUGGCCAUCUUUUCCCUGUGCCUCUGUCUUCCCAUGGCCAUCUUCUCAGACGGACCCCAGCCAUAUUGGAUUAGGGCCCACCCUACUCCAGCAUGAGCUUUUCUGAAGUAAUGACAUCUGCAAUGGCCUUAUUUCCAAAUAGGGUCACGUUCCGAAGUAUUCGGGGUUAGGUCUUCAACAUAUGUUUUUUAGGAGAAUGCAGUUCAUCCCAUACCAGAGUGACAGUGGAGAUCCGUCAUUCAUUCAUUCAUUUGGUGCAUUGACUGAGCACCUUCCUGCUCCUUUGUCUUUGAUGCUGAUGUCUGGUGAUGCUUGAGACAGGUGCAGUUCCUGCCUGCAUGGAGCUCUGGGUCUAACAGACAGGAUGGCAGCAAACACCUCAUCAGGUGGCCAGUUGGU